CCGUGGUUGAAGCUCAAGCUAUGAUUUCUGGUGAACAGAAGGAGGCUGAACGAUUGAGCCCCAUUGCUGAGGUUUCAGAGGAGAAAAGCUGUUCAGAAACUCGGAAGAGAAAGAAUAUUGUCGAUCUUGAAUUUGAUGUUGCUGGUAUCACAAAUUUGUCUCCAAGACAAAGGCUUUCUGACAUUUCAGAUGUUCAUUGCAGCGAGUCACCUCUUACGACUUGCUAAAGAGGGAGCGAGUAACUUUUGUUGUCAAUUCAAUUGUCAACUUGGAAAACUCUUUUUGGUCAAAAUUAUUAUUGUUUUAUGGCAGGGAAUGUUAUAAUGAUUUUAGGAGGCUCUUUUAGAGAGACUAUUAUGUUAUGAGUGUGGUAUACAGUAUAUUUCAACUCUGAAAUAUGUCCGCAUAAUUAAGGAUCCACUUCACAGACCUUAUAGUUGUGUCAUUGUAGAAUCCAGUAAAGUAACCUUGGUUUGUGCUUCUACUAUUAUGCAUAUUUUUCCCAGCAUUUUUUAUACCUUGCAAUGUUUGCAAAAUCAACAAAUUGUAAAUCUGUAUUCGAAUAUGUAAUUAAUCUCUGAAACAUAAACAUGAUUUGUCCUUGUUGUAAAAUCUGCAAAUCCAGCUAAUUGGAGAACUAGCAAUGGAAUAGCCAUUCAAGAAUGACACCAACAUCGUCUGACCAAACAAAUGAAGGUCCAUUAUGAUUCAAGGUUCCAAAAUGUUAUUGGAGUAUUGGUUGAUCUUAUGAUGGGAAGGGUGGAUCGGUGAUUUGGUAACAUGUUCGGUGAAUGGGUGUAUAUGGAGGUCCUGUUCCUCUGCCUACAUAAUCACCAUCCUAACUAUCCAUAACAACUUAAUCUACAUUUGAUUCCAAAUUACCUCAUUGAAAGCAUUCUCCAGGAAUUUACUAGAUCAAAAUUAACAACCAAAUAAUAAUAAGGUAGCAUUAUUUCCAAAAGCUUAAUCUAACAUUUUUGCUCUAUGAAUUCUUCUGUCAAAUAUAAACUGUGAAUGCAGAAGGUGCCAUGGAACAAAAGUUGGAAUCCACUAUGGACUAACCUUCUUCUCCGGGGCCAGGCCAAUAAGAGAGGAAUGUGCUGGUGAUUCACCAGCCCUGUCUGAAAUUGUACACCAGUGCUGUUGCCUGUUCUGCUGCUGCAGUGGUGAUUCAUUACCUGCUGCUGCAGUGGUGAUUCAUUACCUGCAGCUGCAUUAUACACAUAGAGAGCGAUUUUCUAAUGUGUCCAAUGUCACAUGUUAAGAACACACUCAAUUGAAUAAGUUUUCAUUAGAAAACUGAAUCAGUGAUAUUAUAUAUCAUUUAAUAUAUAAUAUAAACAAACUAUUGCCUCUUAUGCACUAUAUGUGGAAGGCUAUAAAUUAUGAAGUAAUAUUUAAUAAACUAUUUCCUCUUUUGCACAUUGUAUGAUAGGCUAUAAUAUAUAUCAUUGGCAACUUCAUAAUAUCUGCGCAUACUUUGUGUAAAGGCUAUAACCCGCUCAUGUGCUAAUGUUUUUGGUCCUGCAUAAAAGAUGAUUUGUGUUAUGGUCAUCUGAGAAUUUCCUGUGAAGGGUGUUCAUGUUUGAUGUUCCUUUGAAUUGUGUGCUAUUUGUCAGGUGUGUCGAUAUAUGGAUUAUCUGAUUGUGAAUAUCUUCUAUAAACCUUCUAUAAAUUCUAGACUUAGAUGGCACCUUCUAUGAAGGGUUUAUCUAGAAAAGAAGUGUUUUACUGAUGAAUGGACAAUUACUCCUAGGCGUUUAAUGCUCUCUGAAUAUACUGCUUUUGCCUACCUUUGAGGGUCUACAAUAAUUAAUUCGAACUUUAAGCACAACCUGCAAAUAUUCAAUUAUAUGAUGAACAUGUCUACUUGCACCUUUGAAAAUUCUGAUAUCUUUUUAUAUGUAACACUUGCUUCUAUUUUUUCUGUGCUAAUUUUAGUAGUAUAAAUAUUGAACAUAUUUCUUAUGCAUGACACUUUAUCUACCAAAACUGAGAAGUGAUAACUUUCUUUAUCAUCUAAUAGGUACUGAGUUUCGCUUACUAUGUAAGUGUUGGGAAUUCCUUAUUAUUGGUGAAAUACCAAUCCUAAGAUCUUGAAUAUCAUAAUUCUCACAUACAUAUAUUAACAAAGGAUGCAAUGUCAUACCUGAAUCCAUGUUCUACGUUUCUGAAAGAGGUUUUGUGGUCUGAUUCCUCUUGAGACUUGCGUUUUCACUCUGAUGGGGAGAUGAGAAAACUGAAUUUGAUUUGAUGUGUUGGGAACCAUAACUUUCCUUAUGUUAACUUAUAGGGUUCCCAUUAUUCCAUAUGGGUUAACCUGAUGGGUAUCCACCAUUAAACCCAUAUCAUUUAUCAGCUUUUAGAAAUAUAAGGGAACCAGUAAUU
RNAcentral lists this long non-coding RNA (2388 nucleotides) under Lupinus angustifolius (narrow-leaved blue lupine). RNAcentral's name for it is "long non-coding RNA (LANG_LNC000899)". Lineage: Eukaryota; Viridiplantae; Streptophyta; Magnoliopsida; Fabales; Fabaceae. The record is from RNAcentral.